AGAGUUUGAUCCUGGCUCAGAAUGAACGCUGGCGGUAGGCUUAACACAUGCAAGUCGAACGGAAACGAUGAAAAGCUUGCUUUUCAGGCGUCGAGUGGCGGACGGGUGAGUAACGCGUGGGAAUCUACCCUAUAGUUGGGGACAACAUAUGGAAACGUAUGCUAAUACCGAAUAUGCUCUACGGAGUAAAGGUGCCCUCUCCUUGGAAGGUAUCGCUAUAGGAUGAGCCCGCGUUAGAUUAGCUAGUUGGUGAGGUAAAGGCUCACCAAGGCGACGAUCUAUAGCUGGUUUGAGAGGAUGAUCAGCCACACUGGGACUGAGACACGGCCCAGACUCCUACGGGAGGCAGCAGUGGGGAAUAUUGCACAAUGGACGCAAGUCUGAUGCAGCCAUACCGCGUGUGUGAAGAAGGCCCGAGGGUUGUAAAGCACUUUCAGUAGGGAGGAAGAGUAUAAGAUUAAUACCCUUAUAUUUUGACGUUACCUACAGAAGAAGCACCGGCUAACUCUGUGCCAGCAGCCGCGGUAAUACAGAGGGUGCAAGCGUUAUUCGGAAUUACUGGGCGUAAAGCGCGCGUAGGCGGAUGAUUAAGUCAGUUGUGAAAGCCCUGGGCUCAACCUAGGAACUGCAUCUGAAACUGGUCAU
Molecule: ribosomal RNA, 645 nt
Filed under: uncultured bacterium
Lineage: Bacteria
Description: bacterial SSU rRNA
Rfam family: Bacterial small subunit ribosomal RNA
Source: RNAcentral